Molecule: ribosomal RNA, 371 nt
Filed under: uncultured organism
Description: bacterial SSU rRNA
Rfam family: Bacterial small subunit ribosomal RNA
Source: RNAcentral
CAGAGGGUGCGAGCGUUAAUCGGAAUUACUGGGCGUAAAGCGUGCGUAGAUGGUUAUGUAAGUCGGAUGUGAAAGCCCAGGGCUCAACCUUGGAAUUGCAUUCGAGACUGCAUAGCUAGGAUGCGGAAGAGGGAAGCGGAAUUUCCGGUGUAGCGGUGAAAUGCGUAGAUAUCGGAAGGAACACCAGUGGCGAAAGCGGCUUCCUGGUCCAGCAUCGACGUUCAGGCACGAAAGCGUGGGGAGCAAACAGAAUUAGAUACCCUGGUAGUCCACGCCAUAAACGAUGACAACUAGACGUUGAGAGGGUAAGCCUCCCAGUGUCGCAGCUAACGCGUUAAGUUGUCCGCCUGGGGAGUACGGCCGCAAGGUUG